RNAcentral lists this ribosomal RNA (253 nucleotides) under uncultured bacterium. Its description in RNAcentral is "partial 16S ribosomal RNA". It matches the Rfam family "Bacterial small subunit ribosomal RNA", at positions 524 to 775 of the family's 1533-position model. The record is from RNAcentral.
UACGUAGGGAGCAAGCGUUGUCCGGAUUUAUUGGGCGUAAAGAGCUCGUAGGCGGCUUAGCAAGUCAGGUGUGAAACCUCCAGCUUAACCUGGAGACGCCACUUGAUACUGCUAUGGCUUGAGUUUGGUAGGGGAAGACGGAAUUCCUGGUGUAGGCGGUGAAAUGCGCAGAUAUCAGAGAGGAACACCGAUGGCGAAGGCAGUCUUCUGGGCCAAACUGACGCUGAGGAGCGAAAGCGUGGGGAGCGAACAG